Molecule: long non-coding RNA, 2436 nt
Filed under: Homo sapiens (human)
Lineage: Eukaryota; Metazoa; Chordata; Mammalia; Primates; Hominidae
Description: HSALNT0170480
Source: RNAcentral
GAUCGGUUUGGUUACUAAUUUUAUGAUGUUUAACCAGACUGACAGUGACGUGCAGGCCCCUGUGGUGCCUGGUGCCUCAGCCUGUACUCCCCUCCCAUCCUGACCCUGUGAGCUGCGGGGGGCUGGGAGCAGGCUAGCCACAUGUCAGUUCUGCACAAGCCUUUCUGGGAGCUACACAUCAGGUGGGCUGCAGGCUUCCAGGCUAGACAGCUCCUUACCACCAGAAGUCCGUGCCUACCAGCUGCCUCACGCCCCAAGGCCCAGCAACAAGGACAAGCACCUCCCCAGAGCUUCCGGAAGGCUCUCACAGAAACCACAUUCCAGGCCUUUUAAAACGAAAAACACCCCCCAGCUACUCCAGAGGCUGAGGCAGGAAAAUGGCUUGAACCCAGGAGGCAGAGGUUGCAGUGAGCCAAGAUCCCACGACUGCACUCCAGCCUGGGCAACAGAGCGAGACUCUGUCUCAAAAAAAAAAAAUACUGAGACCCCAUCUCUACAAAAAAUAAAAUAAAAUAAAAUAAAAUAAAAUAAAAUAAAAUAAAAUACAAAAUUAAAAAAAAAAGAAAAAAAAGAGAAAAACACCCUCCCUAAGACCUCUGUUCACCCCUCCCUGUGUGAGGCCCAGGAGGCAUCAGUAAACAGAAACAAGGCCGGCCCUCACACAGCAGGUACACCCCAACAUCUCAACAAAACCUCACACAGGACACACACCCAACAUCGCAACAAAACCUCACACGGCACACACACCCCAACAUCUCAACAAAACCUCACACAGGACACACACCCCAACAUCUCAACAAAACCUCACACGGCACGCACAUCCCAACAUCUCAACAAAACCUCCCACGGCACGUACAACCCAAAAUCUCAACAAAACCUCCCACGGCACGCACACCCCAACAUCUCAACAAAACCUCCCACGGCACGCACACCCCAACAUCUCAACAAAACCUCCCACGGCACGCACACCCCAACAUCUCAACAAAACCUCCCACGGCACGCACACCCCAACAUCUCAACAAAACCUCCCACGGCACGCACACCCCAACAUCUCAACAAAACCUCCCACGGCACGCACACCCCAACAUCUCAACAAAACCUCCCACGGCACGCACACCCCAACAUCUCAACAAAACCUCCCACGGCACGUACACCCCAACAUCUCAACAAAACCUCCCACGGCACGUACACCCCAACAUCUCAACAAAACCUCACACGGCACACACACCUCAACAUCAACAAAACCUCACACAGCACACACACCUCAACAUCAACAAAACCUCACACGGCACACACACCCCAACAUCUCAACAAAACCUCACACAGCACACACACCCCAACAUCUCAACAAAACCUCACACGGCACACACACCUCAACAUCAACAAAACCUCACACGGCACACACACCCCAACAUCUCAACAAAACCUCACACGGCACGCACACCCCAACAUCUCAACAAAACCUCACACGGCACGUACACCCCAACAUCUCAACAAAACCUCACACGGCACGCACACCCCAACAUCUCAACAAAACCUCACACGGCACGCACACCCCAACAUCUCAACAAAACCUCACACGGCACACACACCCCAACAUCUCAACAAAACCUCCCACAGCACACACAACCCAACAUCAACAAAACCUCACACAGCACACACACCCCAACAUCUCAACAAAACCUCACACGGCACGUACACCCCAACAUCUCAACAAAACCUCACACGGCACGUACACCCCAACAUCUCAACAAAACCUCACACGGCACGCACACCCCAACAUCUCAACAAAACCUCACACGGCACACACACCUCAACAUCAACAAAACCUCACACAGCACACACACCCCAACAUCUCAACAAAACCUCACACAGCACACACACCCCAACAUCAACAAAACCUCACACAGCACACACACCUCAACAUCAACAAAACCUCACACAGCACACACACCCCAACAUCUCAAUAAAACCUCACACGGCACGUACACCCCAACAUCGCAACAAAACCUCACACGGCACACACACCCCAACAUCUCAACAAAACCUCACACGGCACACACACCUCAACAUCAACAAAACCUCACACAGCACACACACCCCAACAUCUCAACAAAACCUCACACGGCACGUACACCCCAACAUCGCAACAAAACCUCACACGGCACGCACACCCCAACAUCUCAACAAAACCUCACACGGCACGUACACCCCAACAUCUCAACAAAACCUCAGUAUCUACAAAAAGUAGCUGUGUAUGAAAUAAACCGAGCUGAUGUUUCUUUAAACAAGUUCUUUCAAUGGGAUUCCAGAGGCCCAGGUCUUGCAUUUCAGCAAUCAGCAGAGCAAGGGAAACACUCCAAGGCACGCUGCAGACAGACGCCCAGCAGAGGCAGGGCCAGAAGCAACACCAGGUUAAGUGGCACAAACUUUCCC